This 3666-nucleotide long non-coding RNA is filed under the name Monomorium pharaonis (pharaoh ant). RNAcentral's name for it is "uncharacterized LOC114253932, transcript variant X3". Lineage: Eukaryota; Metazoa; Arthropoda; Insecta; Hymenoptera; Formicidae. The record is from RNAcentral.
UUAAGAAUAAGGAGUUUUUCUCGGGACUUUAACGUUAUAAUAAAUAAAACUAUAUAUAAAAUUAUGUUCUUAAAAUUUUAAUUAAUUCUAAAUAAACUACAAUUAAGCGAUGUUUAAGGAGUAACAUGAUCCCUGAGGCUCUAAAAUGAUCACCUAAGUUCGGGAAUUUUUUGUAAACAAAUAAAUAGCUUUAUUUAAAAAACAAAUAUAAACCAUUUUAUUAUACACAUAUUAAAUUGUUUAAAAAAAUGUUUAAUUAUUUAUUUAUAAUUGUUUAAAAUGACGGUGAUACUGGCACAUUUCCCCGCAAAUGCACUUUUUCUAAUUUGGGUGUAACGCUUUUUUUAUCCGACUGACUUGAAAUUUUAACAUCAUCUUCUAUACAUCACACAAUAGGAUUUUUGCGAAACAUUGAAAAUUCUUUUUGCAAUAAUAAUUUGUUUAUCUAAUUUUUGACCACAAAAAUGUACUUUUUCCUAAAAAUAGCUGUUAUUUAAAAAAAGGAUAUUUUUUUAAACGGCUUUGUACUUGUAAUUGCAAUCAAUAUAGAAAAUAAUUUUGAAUUUUUCGAGGUUAAAUCUUAGAGAAAUCUUGCACGCAAAAUGAUGUCUAAAAAAAGUGCGUUUGCGGAAGUGUGCCAGUACGCCGCUAUUUUAAUCAAUUAUAAGUAAAUAAAAAUUUUCCAAAUAAUUUAAUAUGUAUAUAAUAAAAUAGAUUAUACUUUUUUAAAUAAACCUAUUUGCCCACAAAAAAUUUCCAAAUUUGGGUAUUGUUUUAGGGAUGGCGUUAUCCCUUAAAAAAUAAAGUUUUAUCACAAAGCCUUAUAGUGACUUCUAUCUCAUGAUGUAAAGUUAAAAAAACUAGAAUAAAUAAUAAUCUUUGUCGAUAUUUUUCUUAAAAAACAAUACAUAAAAAAACAAUUAUAUUAAAAAUACAUUACUUUAACCUUAUAGAAACCAUCAUCUUGAAAAAAUUUUCUUACUGAUUUUACAUACUUAAAAUUUCUGUAAAUGAACAAUUUAUGGAUAUUUACUUUUUUAUCUUUAUUUUGUCAAUACCUAGCCUUCUUAAUAAUAAGAAGCAUUGCAUUUUAGUGAUUAAUAGAACAUAUAUUUCCAUUUCAGUUUUUAAGCAUAACUAAACUGCAUACAAUCGGACCUCUCAUUUAGCAUAGCCACGGGACCAAAUAUGAUAAAUGGGAGGUUCGUGUUAGCGCCGCCCAAAACAGAGUCGUACGUACAUAUCGUCAGAUCCAGUUUCAAAUUAUGGAGGUUAGAAUGUGAUUCUUGCAUUGGCAAGUACGUAUGUACGGACCUGAUGCAGACGACUGCGCAUCGUGUACGCGCAGCGACUGUGAUCACAUGGUAUACUAAACGGAGGUUUUUGGUAUGCUAAAUGGAAGGUCUGACUGUAGAUAUCAAGAGGCACGGUAGUGUACGCGCGCGAGGCACUGCCGUGUCUCUAUUACGCGAGACGGCGUUUGCAAGAUUCCGUAGUUAUUGGAUUCUCAAUAACGGCUGAUCGUUUGAUUUCUAAAUAGGCUAAUAGAUAGCUUGCAUCUAAUUUAUAUAACAAAAGUGUUCCUAUUUUUCCGUUACGUGACUUACGAGCGAAGAUAUUGCAAUUUAAAGUUUCGCAUCAAGAGUAAAAAUAUUUUUAAGAAACGUCGUAGUCAUCGUCGUCUCCCGGACAGGUGAUAGGGAUUUGUACUUUUGCUUUCAGCGUAAUAGAUGGUUUUGGAUUUUAAUUAUUUACGAGUUGACACGGACACGAAAAGUUACAUGUCAUUGGUUGCGUCCGCGCCAUCCGCGUGUCGAGGUAAUGAUUAAUACGCGGAGAGUUUCACGUCUAUGAUGUGACAGUUCGAGGUUAGUGUUGACGUGCGCGAGAUUAGUGACGGGUUAGUUAGUUUUAUGCAUAAUUUGCAUAUUAUAUCGUGGAUUACAUCGUGGAGGAGAAUACGGCUGUGCCUAACUUGAAGAAUUUAGUAAAAUACUAUGCGUUGUAUAAUCAGAUAAGUUACAUAAAAUUUUCAUUUUUUUGUAUAGAAUAAGUAUUCUGAGAUAAAAAUAAAACUUUGUUAUAUUUUAUUUUUAGUUAUUUUACUCUUUCUAGCACAAUAAUUAUAAUUUAUUUACAUGUGUAAAUAACUUACUUUAUGUCACUUAUCUUACUUUUACUUAUUAUUUCUUAACUACUUCUAAUUUUCUCUCUUUCUCUCUCUUUUUACUCGUCCACUUUUUACUCUCAUUUUUCUUUUUCUAUUUUAGGUUUUUCUACUUUAGAUUUAAAUAAAGUGUUUCUUCUUCUCUUUUUUUUAACAUAGUAACUAAAAAUAAUACCAAAACUAAAACCAUAACACAAAGUACUAACCUGUCUCAGAAUACUUAUUUCUAUUUAAAAAAAAAUGAAAAUUUUGUGUAAUAUACUUAUUUAUUAAUAAGGAAGAGUACAAAAUAAAAAGUAUACAAUUUUUUUAUUUAAAUACAUCUAUACAAUUUAUAAGGAUUAUAAAUAUAAAAAUUUUGAAUUUUUUACUACAAUUAAUAAUUAAAAUUAAUAAAGUUAUUUUUAAAAAUUAUCACGUGACUCAUAAACGCUCAACGAUUGGUUGUUGCUGUCGUGACGUCAUACCGUUACUUCGAAGAGGAUCACUAAAUCUUUAUUUUAUUAAAUAACUAUUUAUUAUAAAAUAUGGUGAAAACAAGAUUUGUUAAAGCUGACUCAAGAAAUUUACCUAAAAUUGAUAUAUUUAUGGUGGCUGAAUUUAUCAAAACUGAUGAUAAAUCUAACGCAGCAGAAAUAAGAUUGGUUAAAGCAUCUUUGUCAUCUCGAGAAACCUACGGCGAUAUUGCUAUAGGUUAUGUUUGUUUACAUAGAGAAUCUUUACGUUGUACCAUAAAAGAAAAAAUAUGUCCAGAACACCGAGUAAGAUCUUGACACCGAGUAUGAUAUCUUGACAACAGUAAUAAUUUGUUGGUUGAUCUGCUCGAUGAGCUACUUUAAACCAUAACUUGCGCUUUUCAUUCUCUGGCACGGAAAAAAACUUUUUCCGAAUGUUUCAUCUGUGUAUUUGAACGCAGGGGUACAAAACGUCGACGAUACAAUUUUUUCUCACUUAUAUUAUUUUUUUUCGCAAAAAAUAAUAAACUUUUAAUAAGGACCUAAUAUCUUUCCCGUGUUGUUAUGAAUGAGAAAUGGUAUGACGUCACAUAGAUAGCGUUUUUUUACAGUGACGCGUUUUAGAUCCGUUUAAAAGUAAUUUUUAAUAAUUUGUUUUCUGAUAAACUUUGCUUUAAAAAAUCUGAGAAUAAAAAUUACCUUAAAAAACAUACGCAAACUUUCAAAUAGAAAUAUUUUUUUUUAAUUGUAUUUUUCCCUAUUGUACAACAUAUAGUGUUAUACUAAUCUUCAAAUUAGGCACAGCCGUUUUUUCCUUCACAAUGUAAUCCACGAUGUAAUAGGCAUAUUAUAAAAAUAAAUUAAAAUAUAAUCAGAAAAGAAAAAAAAACCAAUACAAUUUUGUUUUGUCAUUUUAAUUCAGUCUCAGUCUCAGUCUCAAUCUUUAAAUUUAGUAUGAUAUAGACUUCAAAAUUGUCUUAUGAAUUCAUAUAUAUUAUAAAACGGAAUACCUGUCACUACAAAAUGAGUGAAAUCACACCAAAA